UGAGGCAUGAGAACUGCUUGAACCCAGGAAGUGGAGGUUGCAGUGAGCCAAGAUCGUGCCACUGUACUCCAGCCUGGGUGACACAGCAAGACUC
This 94-nucleotide microRNA precursor is filed under the name Macaca nemestrina (pig-tailed macaque). RNAcentral's name for it is "miRNA (ENSMNEG00000023737.1)". Lineage: Eukaryota; Metazoa; Chordata; Mammalia; Primates; Cercopithecidae. The record is from RNAcentral.